RNAcentral lists this small RNA (5368 nucleotides) under Pan troglodytes (chimpanzee). RNAcentral's name for it is "retained intron". The stretch from base 4930 to 5222 matches the Rfam family "7SK RNA". Lineage: Eukaryota; Metazoa; Chordata; Mammalia; Primates; Hominidae. The record is from RNAcentral.
AGAGCAGACAAAAUAUGGGGCCCCUGGCGCUUAAAGUUCAGUUUGUCUCUCUUGAGCUUGGAGAAAAUCAUCCGUAGUGCCUCCCCGGGGGACACGUAGAGGAGAGAAAAGCGACCAAGAUAAAAGUGGACAGAAGAAUAAGCGAGACUUGUUAUCCAUGAAACAGUCUCCUGCCCUCGCUCCGGAAGAGCGCUACCGCAGAGCCGGGUCCCCAAAGCCGGUCUUGAGAGCUGAUGACAAUAACAUGGGCAAUGGCUGCUCUCAGAAGCUGGCGACUGCUAACCUCCUCCGGUUCCUAUUGCUGGUCCUGAUUCCAUGUAUCUGUGCUCUCGUUCUCUUGCUGGUGAUCCUGCUUUCCUAUGUUGGAACAUUACAAAAGGUCUAUUUUAAAUCAAAUGGGAGUGAACCUUUGGUCACUGAUGGUGAAAUCCAAGGGUCCGAUGUUAUUCUUACAAAUACAAUUUAUAACCAGAGCACUGUGGUGUCUACUGCACAUCCCGACCAACACGUUCCAGCCUGGACUACGGAUGCUUCUCUCCCAGGGGACCAAAGUCACAGGAAUACAAGUGCCUGUAUGAACAUCACCCACAGCCAGUGUCAGAUGCUGCCCUACCACGCCACGCUGACACCUCUCCUCUCAGUUGUCAGAAACAUGGAAAUGGAAAAGUUCCUCAAGUUUUUCACAUAUCUCCAUCGCCUCAGUUGCUAUCAACAUAUCAUGCUGUUUGGCUGUAGCCUCGCCUUCCCUGAGUGCGUCAUUGAUGGCGAUGACAGUCAUGGACUCCUGCCCUGUAGGUCCUUCUGUGAGGCUGCAAAAGAAGGCUGUGAAUCAGUCCUGGGGAUGGUGAAUUACUCCUGGCCGGAUUUCCUCAGAUGCUCCCAGUUUAGAAACCAAACUGAAAGCAGCAAUGUCAGCAGAAUUUGCUUCUCACCUCAGCAGGAAAACGGAAAGCAAUUGCUCUGUGGAAGGGGUGAGAACUUUCUGUGUGCCAGUGGAAUCUGCAUCCCCAGGAAACUGCAAUGUAAUGGCUACAACGACUGUGACGACUGGAGUGACGAGGCUCAUUGCAACUGCAGCGAGAAUCUGUUUCACUGUCACACAGGCAAGUGCCUUAAUUACAGCCUUGUGUGUGAUGGAUAUGAUGACUGUGGGGAUUUGAGUGAUGAGCAAAACUGUGGUAAGUAGCAUUGUUUCCCCAAAGGUUUUAAUUUAAAAUCAUAGAAAUUUAUAACCAAAAACUUACAGUUCAUUAUGUGUUAAUAUGAUUAGCAGUUUAAAUUACAAAAUGAUUGGUUUCUUGUUUUUUAGAAGGAGGAAGUUUGUUCAAUCACUGUCCUCAGUAAUGUCUUAUGUGUAAAUGUAAUACAUAAAGAAUCAUAUUAAGAAAAUGUUUAAGAAGUGGGAUGGGAAGACUGGUAAAGGUUGUUAAUGCAUUAAUAGUUUUUUUCCUCUCCUCAAAUGUGUUCUGUUUCUCCUCUGGUUAGAGCCAGUGGCUUACGUUAGAUUUGGGCUUUUGAGCAAACUUUGAGGGCAGAUAUAUUGUCUGUGCCUGAUUCCCUUGGUACAUGUGACUGAAGUCCCCUCCUUUAUUUAAUCCUCAAAUAGUACAGGGACCACCUGUUCAGCAGCUACACCCAGGGUUAGGAUGAUGCAUUUGUUUUGUGUACACAUGGUGAUCUUAUCUUUUAAAGAAUAACCCCACUUUUUAAAGAGUCAUGUCCAAUUCUGAAUGCCAUCUCAUGAAUUAAAAUCAGCUAAAUUCCUCUUGCUCAUUUACUUUUUUGGCUUUGUGACUAGCUUCAGAAUUUUUAGGUAGCAUAUUGUUGAGUGACGUAGGAACUUUGCAACAUGAACAAAAGGGAAAACUGGGAUGAGGAUACACCCUGGACAAAUGAUAUGAGACAAUGUCCCGCAUUAGAUAACAUCAAAAUGAAUGUUUGGGAAGGAUCAGCGGUAUGGUCAGAGGAAGGCAUUGGAAUCAUGAAUGUUAGGAAUAACCCCAUGCUGGGAAACCUGGUGGUUUCUAGGAGCGCUGUCUAGCUGCCACUUGCUGUAUCUGUAAAAAUAUUUUAAAAUGUAUGUGUACAAACCAUUCCUGUGUGACUAGAUAGAGGUGGGUUAUUGCUUUUUUCUGAUAAUAGUUUAUUUUUAUUUUAUUUUGACUAAAAUAGUUGUACAUAUUUAUUGAAUACAGCAUGAUAUUUUAAUACAUGUAUACAAUAUGUAAUGAUCAAAUCAGGGUAAUUAGUGUAUCCAUCACCUCAAACAUUUAUCAUUUCUUUGUAUUAGGAACAUUCAGAAUCUUCUCAUUUAGUUAUUUGAAAAUAUGCAAUAAAUUAUCAUUAACUAUAGUCACCAUCCAGUGCUAUAAAAACCUACAACUUGUUCCUCCUAUCUAGCUGUAAUUUUGUAUCAGUUAAACAAUCUCUGUCUCUCUCUCUUUUUUUUUUUUUUUUGAGAUGGAGUCUUGCUCCAUCACCCAGGCUGGAGUGCAGUGGCGCUAUCCCAGCUCACUGCAAUCUCCGCCUCCCGGGCUCAAGUGAUUCUCCUGCCUCAGCCUCCUGAAUAACUGGGACUACAGGUGUGUGCCACCACGCUCAGCUAAUUUUUGUAUUUUUAGUAGAGAUGGGGUUUCUUCAUGUUGGUCAGGCUGGUCUCUAACUCCUGAGCUCAUGAUUUGCCUGCCUCGGCCUCCCAAAGUGCUGGGAUUACAGGCAUGAGCCACCGCACCUGGCAGCAAUCUCUCUUUGUCCCUCCUCCUCCAUACCCUUCUGGCCUCUAGUAACCACUGUUCUACUCUCUAUUUCCAUGAGAUCAACUCUGCAUUUGAGUGAGGGCCUGUGGUAUUUCUGUUUCUAUGCCUGGCUUAUUUCACUAAACAGAAUGUCCUCCAGGCUCAUCCAUGUUGCUACAAAUAACAGGAUUUUAUUCUUUUGGCAUGGCUGAAUAGUAUUCCAUUGUGUAGAUGUACCAUAUUUUCUUCUCCACUCAUUUUUUGAUGGCAUAAAUUGAUUCCAUAUCAUGGUUAUUGUGAGUAGUGCUGCAGUGAAUGUGGGGGUGCAGAUGUCUGUUUGAUAUACUGAUUUCCUUUCCUUUGGGUAUAUGCCCAGUAGUGGGAUUGCUGGGUUAUAUGGAAGUUCUAUUUGUAGUUUUCUCAAGAACCUCCAUAUUGUUUUCCAUAAUGACUGUACUAAUUUACAUUUAGAUGCGGGUUAUAUCCUGGGACUGACUAGUCUUGAGAAAAAGGAUGAGAGGAUAUUGUAAUUAUAUAGAUCACAGAAAUUAUAGUUGCAGGAGGCCUUGGAGAUCAUCAGAUUCAACCCUUCCCUUUACCAGUGAGAUAAUUAGGAAAUGCAGGGGAUUGAAAAUGAGUGAGUGUCGUUUGGUAGUUGGAUAGGUUAGUGGAGAGGGCCAGCAUGCAGGUAGCAUGUGAGAAAAAAUGGUCUUAACAGGCAACAUAAUUCCUCUGAAGAUAGCAGGCUAUCGUGAAGUUUGUGUGUCUGGAUGCCAGUUGUCUCCAUCUAAUAGCAAUAAUUAUCACUUUCCUUCAGACCAGCCUCUGCCCUGGCUCCGUGUGCUCUUCUGGUUCCUGCCCAAGCACUUCUUAUGCUUUUCUUCUUUUCUCAAACCUAUGUCCUCCCUAUACUUUCCUCUGUUGAUCCAAAAUAUGCUUUAAGAUCCACGGUCACUCCGGAAGUCUGUCUAUGACCAUGGCACUGUUACUAGACUCAUCAUACUUUCUCAUGGAAUCUAUUAUUCAUGAAUCCACAUACAUCUUCUAAAACACUGCUUAUAUUCAGGGUAUACCACCUCUCAUGGCAAAGCAUCCUAUGGAUUCUGCCCUUUGUGAGAGCGAACUUAUCACUUAGUUCUUUUUCACUAAUAUAUAAAUUGGGACAAAGUUGAAGUCCAGGCUAAAAAGAAUCAUGAAUAUAACAUAAAUAUUUUGCAUGGCUUACCUAGCAGUUCUUUUGGAUAUAAGGCCAGGCAUGCUGGCAUAUUCCUUGUAGUCCCAACUACUUGGAGGCUGGGGUGGGAGGAUCACCUGAUCCUAGGAGGUUGAGGCUGCAGUGAGCUAUGAUCACACCACUGCACUCCAGCCUGGGAGAAAGAGAGAGACCUUGUCUCAAAAAAAAGAUAAUCAAUUAAAAACUUAAGCUUAGCAUCAGGAGAGAUGACAAGGAGAUACGUGCCUUCCCAAUUUGCCAGACAGGUAAGUUAUAAUUCCUAGAAACGUGAGAGAGCUGUUACAGAUACAUCAAAUCCGCUAGCUGCAUUGUGAAACACAAAUCACAGUUCUGUUUUUUGAACCAGGGUAGAAAUCAUAAAUUUUUCAUAAGGAAAGAAAAUGACAACUAAAGAAAACAAAAGCCAACAACAAUAAGAACAAACUACGGGUCCUGGGGCAGCUAGAGUAGUUACUUAUCUGAAAAACAGACCCAUCUUACCCCACAGUGAUGGUGGUCAGUGGGGCACAUGAGUGGGGAGGGCGUGGCAUUUUAAUUGGGCCAGACCUAUUGUAGAAAUGUUAUUGAAGGUAUUGGAGCCAUUGGAACAGACUCUCUUCGAUGGGAACUGGGAGCCAUAGAAUCCUGCCUGUUUGUCAUGCUGGUUCUCUGCAUCCUCGUGAGUUUUCAUUUCUCCAGAUUGCAAUCCCACAACAGAGCAUCGCUGCGGGGACGGGCGCUGCAUCGCCAUGGAGUGGGUGUGUGAUGGUGACCACGACUGUGUGGAUAAGUCCGACGAGGUCAACUGCUGUGAGUGCUCUGAGGACGUUUGUUUUGCUUAUUUUUCCAUUUCUGGUUCUUUAGGCUGUACUCAAGGUUGAGGACUGUACUUAAGACUCACUAUAUACACAGCAUUCCAAGGGAAAGAUUCUUAUGCUUUGGUUCUAGCCUGUAAAGAUCACUGAGUCACGGGAUGACAAUAGCAAUGGAGUGUAUCUGACUUCCACACCUCUCCCUGCAAAACUCCAAGCUUCAUUUGGCUGAUCUAGCCAAGUGGGUGUCUGUUUUCUCUCUCAUUGCUCCAUAUGUCUCUUUUAUGCUUCUGUGACUUUGUCAAAGGUGAUGCUCUGCCCACAGAAUGGGGAACCUUUCUUCUGCAAACAAUACAUAAGUAGUUAAGCUUCCCUGCAGGAGUUCCCUAACAUGUUUUCAGGGGCCAUUUGUGGAAGAACAUGGAAAGAAUCGUCAGAGAGAAGAGAGCCUUUAAUGUUCAUAUGAUGAUACAAAGAGAGCAUAAUAGGCCGGGCAUGGUGGCUCACGCCUGUAGUCCCAGCACUUUGGGAGGCAGAGAUGGGUAGAUGACCUGAGGUCAGGAGUUUGAGACCAGCCUGGCCAACAGUCUCUAGUAAAAAUACAAAAA